UACGACGGGGGCUAGCGUUGUUCGGAAUUACUGGGCGUAAAGCGUGCGCAGGCGGCUUCUCAAGUCAGGGGUGAAAGCCCAGAGCUCAACUCUGGAAUUGCCUUUGAGACUGAGUGGCUUGAGUACGAGAGAGGUGAGUGGAAUUCCCAGUGUAGAGGUGAAAUUCGUAGAUAUUGGGAAGAACACCGGUGGCGAAGGCGGCUCACUGGCUCGUAACUGACGCUCAUGCACGACAGCGUGGGGAUCAAACAGG
Molecule: ribosomal RNA, 253 nt
Filed under: uncultured bacterium
Lineage: Bacteria
Description: partial 16S ribosomal RNA
Rfam family: Bacterial small subunit ribosomal RNA
Source: RNAcentral